Molecule: transfer RNA, 70 nt
Filed under: Pristimantis torresi
Lineage: Eukaryota; Metazoa; Chordata; Amphibia; Anura; Strabomantidae
Description: tRNA-Gln
Source: RNAcentral
UUAGAAAGAUGGGUUUCGAACCCGUACCUAAGAAAUCAAAAUUCUUCGUAAUUCCAUUUUACUACUCUCU